GGUUAAGCGACUAAGCGUACACGGUGGAUGCCCUGGCAGUCAGAGGCGAUGAAGGACGUGCUAAUCUGCGAUAAGCGUCGGUAAGGUGAUAUGAACCGUUAUAACCGGCGAUUUCCGAAUGGGGAAACCCAGUGUGUUUCGACACACUAUCAUUAACUGAAUCCAUAGGUUAAUGAGGCGAACCGGGGGAACUGAAACAUCUAAGUACCCCGAGGAAAAGAAAUCAACCGAGAUUCCCCCAGUAGCGGCGAGCGAACGGGGAGGAGCCCAGAGCCUGAAUCAGUGUGUGUGUUAGUGGAAGCGUCUGGAAAGGCGCGCGAUACAGGGUGACAGCCCCGUACACAAAAAUGCACAUACUGUGAGCUCGAUGAGUAGGGCGGGACACGUGGUAUCCUGUCUGAAUAUGGGGGGACCAUCCUCCAAGGCUAAAUACUCCUGACUGACCGAUAGUGAACCAGUACCGUGAGGGAAAGGCGAAAAGAACCCCGGCGAGGGGAGUGAAAAAGAACCUGAAACCGUGUACGUACAAGCAGUGGGAGCACGCUUCGGCGUGUGACUGCGUACCUUUUGUAUAAUGGGUCAGCGACUUAUAUUCUGUAGCAAGGUUAACCGAAUAGGGGAGCCGAAGGGAAACCGAGUCUUAACUGGGCGUUAAGUUGCAGGGUAUAGACCCGAAACCCGGUGAUCUAGCCAUGGGCAGGUUGAAGGUUGGGUAACACUAACUGGAGGACCGAACCGACUAAUGUUGAAAAAUUAGCGGAUGACUUGUGGCUGGGGGUGAAAGGCCAAUCAAACCGGGAGAUAGCUGGUUCUCCCCGAAAGCUAUUUAGGUAGCGCCUCGUGAAUUCAUCUCCGGGGGUAGAGCACUGUUUCGGCAAGGGGGUCAUCCCGACUUACCAACCCGAUGCAAACUGCGAAUACCGGAGAAUGUUAUCACGGGAGACACACGGCGGGUGCUAACGUCCGUCGUGAAGAGGGAAACAACCCAGACCGCCAGCUAAGGUCCCAAAGUCAUGGUUAAGUGGGAAACGAUGUGGGAAGGCCCAGACAGCCAGGAUGUUGGCUUAGAAGCAGCCAUCAUUUAAAGAAAGCGUAAUAGCUCACUGGUCGAGUCGGCCUGCGCGGAAGAUGUAACGGGGCUAAACCAUGCACCGAAGCUGCGGCAGCGACGCUUAUGCGUUGUUGGGUAGGGGAGCGUUCUGUAAGCCUGCGAAGGUGUACUGUGAGGUAUGCUGGAGGUAUCAGAAGUGCGAAUGCUGACAUAAGUAACGAUAAAGCGGGUGAAAAGCCCGCUCGCCGGAAGACCAAGGGUUCCUGUCCAACGUUAAUCGGGGCAGGGUGAGUCGACCCCUAAGGCGAGGCCGAAAGGCGUAGUCGAUGGGAAACAGGUUAAUAUUCCUGUACUUGGUGUUACUGCGAAGGGGGGACGGAGAAGGCUAUGUUGGCCGGGCGACGGUUGUCCCGGUUUAAGCGUGUAGGCUGGUUUUCCAGGCAAAUCCGGAAAAUCAAGGCUGAGGCGUGAUGACGAGGCACUACGGUGCUGAAGUAACAAAUGCCCUGCUUCCAGGAAAAGCCUCUAAGCAUCAGGUAACAUCAAAUCGUACCCCAAACCGACACAGGUGGUCAGGUAGAGAAUACCAAGGCGCUUGAGAGAACUCGGGUGAAGGAACUAGGCAAAAUGGUGCCGUAACUUCGGGAGAAGGCACGCUGAUAUGUAGGUGAAGCGACUUGCUCGUGGAGCUGAAAUCAGUCGAAGAUACCAGCUGGCUGCAACUGUUUAUUAAAAACACAGCACUGUGCAAACACGAAAGUGGACGUAUACGGUGUGACGCCUGCCCGGUGCCGGAAGGUUAAUUGAUGGGGUUAGCGGUAACGCGAAGCUCUUGAUCGAAGCCCCGGUAAACGGCGGCCGUAACUAUAACGGUCCUAAGGUAGCGAAAUUCCUUGUCGGGUAAGUUCCGACCUGCACGAAUGGCGUAAUGAUGGCCAGGCUGUCUCCACCCGAGACUCAGUGAAAUUGAACUCGCUGUGAAGAUGCAGUGUACCCGCGGCAAGACGGAAAGACCCCGUGAACCUUUACUAUAGCUUGACACUGAACAUUGAGCCUUGAUGUGUAGGAUAGGUGGGAGGCUUUGAAGUGUGGACGCCAGUCUGCAUGGAGCCGACCUUGAAAUACCACCCUUUAAUGUUUGAUGUUCUAACGUUGGCCCCUAAUCGGGGUUGCGGACAGUGUCUGGUGGGUAGUUUGACUGGGGCGGUCUCCUCCUAAAGAGUAACGGAGGAGCACGAAGGUUGGCUAAUCCUGGUCGGACAUCAGGAGGUUAGUGCAAUGGCAUAAGCCAGCUUGACUGCGAGCGUGACGGCGCGAGCAGGUGCGAAAGCAGGUCAUAGUGAUCCGGUGGUUCUGAAUGGAAGGGCCAUCGCUCAACGGAUAAAAGGUACUCCGGGGAUAACAGGCUGAUACCGCCCAAGAGUUCAUAUCGACGGCGGUGUUUGGCACCUCGAUGUCGGCUCAUCACAUCCUGGGGCUGAAGUAGGUCCCAAGGGUAUGGCUGUUCGCCAUUUAAAGUGGUACGCGAGCUGGGUUUAGAACGUCGUGAGACAGUUCGGUCCCUAUCUGCCGUGGGCGCUGGAGAACUGAGGGGGGCUGCUCCUAGUACGAGAGGACCGGAGUGGACGCAUCACUGGUGUUCGGGUUGUCAUGCCAAUGGCACUGCCCGGUAGCUAAAUGCGGAAGAGAUAAGUGCUGAAAGCAUCUAAGCACGAAACUUGCCCCGAGAUGAGUUCUCCCUGACCCUUUAAGGGUCCUGAAGGAACGUUGAAGACAACGACGUUGAUAGGCCGGGUGUGUAAGCGCAGCGAUGCGUUGAGCUAACCGGUACUAAUGAACCGUGAGGCUUAACCUUACAACGCCGAAGAUGUUUUGGC
RNAcentral lists this ribosomal RNA (2928 nucleotides) under Escherichia coli 042. Its description in RNAcentral is "bacterial LSU rRNA". It matches the Rfam family "Bacterial large subunit ribosomal RNA". The record is from RNAcentral. Lineage: Bacteria; Pseudomonadati; Pseudomonadota; Gammaproteobacteria; Enterobacterales; Enterobacteriaceae.